ACGUAAGGUAGAGGAGCGUUUGGUAAAGAUUACUUUUUUGAGCGGGAGCUGUGAAGAAAAGGAAAGGUGCCAAACGCCGAAAGCAUAUUAUUGCCAAAUAAUAUGCUUGGGUACAGGGAUAAUAUCUUUGUAACUGUCACAGAUGUGGAGCGCUACUGAAAAU
Molecule: regulatory RNA element, 163 nt
Rfam family: Lysine riboswitch aptamer
About the family: Riboswitches are metabolite binding domains within certain messenger RNAs that serve as precision sensors for their corresponding targets. Allosteric rearrangement of mRNA structure is mediated by ligand binding, and this results in modulation of gene expression.
Source: Rfam